AUAAAUGUAAGGUAUAUAUCUCUUUUAGGUUAAGUUCACCACUUGCCAUUUGGGAGUAAUGUGAGAGGACUGAGAGGCUCUGUUCACUUGGUGUUGAUGCUCCUGCUGGAUGGGGGGCGUUGUGGGGAGAAGAAAGGGGAGUGAACAGAAGGGCAGCCAUCAUGUUUCCAUUCCCCAUCUGUGGGGCUAACUUAAGUAACAAAAUUUAGAAGCUGUAUUGUGAAUUGAUGCCUCUUAAAGCAGUGUUAGUAACUGAAAUUUUGGCUUUAAUAUGUUUUGUUGUAGAUUGAAGAAAAAUAAAGAGCUACAGAAAGUUCAGGAUAUCAAAGAAGUCAAGCAAAACAUCCAUCUUAUCCGAGCCCCUCUUGCAGGCAAAGGGAAACAGUUGGAAGAGAAAAUGGUACAGCAGUUACAAGAGGAUGUGGACAUGGAAGAUGCUCCUUAAAAAUCUCUGUAACCAUUUCUUUUAUGUACAUUUGAAAAUGCCCUUUGGAUACUUGGAACUGCUAAAUUAUUUUAUUUUUUACAUAAGGUCACUUAAAUGAAAAGCGAUUAAAAGACAUCUUUCCUGCAUUGCCAUCUACAUAAUAUCAGAUAUUACGGAUGUUAGAUUGCAUCUCAGUGUUAAAUCUUUACUGAUAGAUGUACUUAAGUAAAUCAUGAAAAUUCUACUUGUAACUAUAGAAGUGAAUUGUGGACGUAAAAUGGUUGUGCUAUUUGGAUAAUGGCACUAGGCAGCAUUUGUAUAGUAACUAAUGGCAAAAAUUCAUGGCUAGUGAUGUAUAAAAUAAA
RNAcentral lists this long non-coding RNA (792 nucleotides) under Homo sapiens (human). Its description in RNAcentral is "HSALNT0220554". The record is from RNAcentral. Lineage: Eukaryota; Metazoa; Chordata; Mammalia; Primates; Hominidae.